GUGCUCAUUUCGGCAGCACAUAUACUAAAAUUGGAACAAUACAGAGAUUACAUGGCCCCUGCUCAAGGAUGACACGCAAAUCUAUAAAUUAGCAGACACAGUU
Molecule: small nuclear RNA, 103 nt
Organism: Suncus etruscus (white-toothed pygmy shrew)
Lineage: Eukaryota; Metazoa; Chordata; Mammalia; Eulipotyphla; Soricidae
Source: RefSeq, a predicted model, not a curated record